CAAUAAAGCACUCAAGAAAGUAUUAUUACUGAUACAGGCCUUAACUGCGUUGUUUUUCAAAGAAGCAGGGCUAGCGACCCAUUCAGGGAAUAUUUACUGAGCAUCUACUAUGUGCCCCCCAGGCAUUAUUCUGGGCCAAGGGGUUAUAGCAGAGAACGAAGCAGAAAAAGUCCUGCCCUCCUCGAGCUAAUAUUUCCAUGAGAGCCUGGGAAGGGGCCCACAGAGCUGGCUCAUCCUGCCUCGGAUUGCUGGGUCCCCACCUGCUGUGCAGCACCCUUUGAGAGCCUGGACAGGAAGCGUUCCGGAAAU
This is a long non-coding RNA of Mustela erminea (ermine), 309 nucleotides long. RefSeq lists it as uncharacterized. NCBI's taxonomy places the organism in Eukaryota, Metazoa, Chordata, Mammalia, Carnivora, Mustelidae. The transcript is spliced from 3 exons. The record is from RefSeq and is a predicted model, not a curated record.